This 350-nucleotide ribosomal RNA is filed under the name uncultured bacterium. RNAcentral's name for it is "bacterial SSU rRNA". It matches the Rfam family "Bacterial small subunit ribosomal RNA", at positions 8 to 350 of the family's 1533-position model. The record is from RNAcentral.
AGAGUUUGAUCAUGGCUCAGGAUGAACGCUAGCUACAGGCUUAACACAUGCAAGUCGAGGGGAAACGAUAUUGGAAGCUUGCUUCCGAUAGGCGUCGACCGGCGCACGGGUGAGUAACGCGUAUCCAACCUGCCCACCACUUGGGGAUAACCUUGCGAAAGUAAGACUAAUACCCAAUGACGUCUCUAGAAGACAUCUGAAAGAGAUUAAAGAUUUAUCGGUGAUGGAUGGGGAUGCGUCUGAUUAGCUUGUUGGCGGGGUAACGCCACCAAGGCUACGAUCAGUAGGGGUUCUGAGAGGAAGGUCCCCCANAUUGGAACUGAGACACGGUCAAACUCCUACGGGAGGCA